CCCUUAGAUGUUCUGGGCCGCACGCGCGCUACACUGAUGCAUUCAACGCGUCUAAAACCUGCUCUGAUAGGGGUGGGUAAUCUUUUGAAUGUGCAUCGUGAUUGGGAUAGAUGAUUGCAAUUUUUCAUCUUCAACGAGGAAUGCCUAGUAAACGCAAGUCAUCAGCUUGCAUUGAUUACGUCCCUGCCCUUUGUACACACCGCCCGUCGCUCCUACCGAUUGAAUGAUCCGAUGAAUAUCAUGGAUUGAGGAUGCAAGUAGGUUCGCCUAUCUUCAUCUUCGAGAAGUGAAGUAAAUCUUAUCAUUUAGAGGAAGGAGAAGUCGUAACA
RNAcentral lists this ribosomal RNA (329 nucleotides) under uncultured eukaryote. RNAcentral describes it as "partial 18S ribosomal RNA". It matches the Rfam family "Eukaryotic small subunit ribosomal RNA", at positions 1470 to 1796 of the family's 1831-position model. The record is from RNAcentral.